Molecule: ribosomal RNA, 450 nt
Filed under: uncultured bacterium
Lineage: Bacteria
Description: partial 16S ribosomal RNA
Rfam family: Bacterial small subunit ribosomal RNA
Source: RNAcentral
GUGGGGAAUUUUGGACAAUGGGCGCAAGCCUGAUCCAGCAAUGCCGCGUGCAGGAAGAAGGCCUUCGGGUUGUAAACUGCUUUUGUACGGAACGAAACGGUCCGGGUUAAUACCCUGGGCUAAUGACGGUACCGUAAGAAUAAGCACCGGCUAACUACGUGCCAGCAGCCGCGGUAAUACGUAGGGUGCAAGCGUUAAUCGGAAUUACUGGGCGUAAAGCGUGCGCAGGCGGUUUUGUAAGACAGGCGUGAAAUCCCCGGGCUCAACCUGGGAAGUGCGUUUGUGACUGCGAGGCUGGAGGGCGGCAGAGGGGGAUGGAAUUCCGCGUGUAGCAGUGAAAUGCGUAGAUAUGCGGAGGAACACCGAUGGCGAAGGCAAUCCCCUGGGCCUGCACUGACGCUCAUGCACGAAAGCGUGGGGAGCAAACAGGAUUAGAAACCCCGGUAGUCC